This 389-nucleotide long non-coding RNA is filed under the name Trifolium pratense (red clover). Its description in RNAcentral is "long non-coding RNA (TPRA_LNC009262)". Lineage: Eukaryota; Viridiplantae; Streptophyta; Magnoliopsida; Fabales; Fabaceae. The record is from RNAcentral.
UUUGGAUGAGAAAUUCUAGAAAUUCAAGGGAUUUAAAAUAACAGACAAUUCAAUUGAUUCAAUUAAAUUCCCUUCAUUUUCAAAUUUUAUUGUUUGGAUAAAGCGAUGAAAUUGUUUGGAUAAAUUUUUAUUAAGAAUAUUUAAUUAAGCUUGCAUCAACUCUUGCAAACCCUAAACCUAACCAAAACUUGCAUAUUUACCUUGGACCAAAUUUAGGAGAGACUUUGUUUUCUGAUUUUUGUUAGUUAGGGGCAUUUUAGGUUUUUUGAUGUGGUGUCAAAUUUUUAGAUAUGGGUAUUUUAGGUUUUUUCAGGGCACAUUGAUUUCUUAUAGAUAUAUAGAUUGUAUGUACAGAACUUAUAUACAAAUUGAUAUGAAUCACGAAAUUC